Molecule: ribosomal RNA, 339 nt
Filed under: Triticum aestivum (bread wheat)
Lineage: Eukaryota; Viridiplantae; Streptophyta; Magnoliopsida; Poales; Poaceae
Description: partial small subunit ribosomal RNA
Source: RNAcentral
AUGCCUGACGGAGCACUCCCUGAAGAAGAAGAACUCGACAUGGCUAUUCUACUGGCGUUUCUGCUGCUGAUGUCUUAUGGAACUGGCAACAUCCAUGGCUCAACAACGGUUAACCAUGGGAACAACACAGACAUGCUCUCCUUGCUCGUCUUCAAAGCGGCUACCAACGACCCAACAGGCGUCCUGCGAUCAUGGAACAGAAGCGUCCGCCACUGCGACUGGACGGGUGUCAUUUGCAGCUCACCGAAUUCAGGGCGCGUCGUUGCCCUGAGAAUGCCCGGCCAAAGCUUGUCAGGCGACGCCCCCAAGCUUCCGACAGCUCGAUCUUCGAGAACAUGA